Molecule: long non-coding RNA, 321 nt
Filed under: Elaeis guineensis (African oil palm)
Lineage: Eukaryota; Viridiplantae; Streptophyta; Magnoliopsida; Arecales; Arecaceae
Description: long non-coding RNA (EGUI_LNC050036)
Source: RNAcentral
AUACCUUUGGAAGGUGCAUCCUGAUUGAGGACGUGAGUCAAUUUUUUGAAACUGAAAUCUAAUCUCAAGUUUCUGAGCCAGUCAUUGUGAUUGGGCUCGAUCAACUUAUUGGUAUCAAGGAUUUGAGCUUGGGAGUUAGAACUCGACAUAGUUAUCUGUAGAGAGAAUAGUUUCUAAUUAGAUAUUUAUAUUUGAUAAAUAUUUAUUCUGAGGAUAUUAAAAACAAACAAGACUUUCACUAUUUCUAUGAAUCUUCCGCACUCCUCGAAUGGAGAAAAAAAUCUAUAUGCAAUAAGUUUCUAGCAAGUACUACACUCCCAC